This 835-nucleotide long non-coding RNA is filed under the name Heterocephalus glaber (naked mole-rat). RNAcentral's name for it is "lncRNA (ENSHGLG00000046280.1)". Lineage: Eukaryota; Metazoa; Chordata; Mammalia; Rodentia; Bathyergidae. The record is from RNAcentral.
GCCGUUCAUGCAGCCUCGCUGUUCAUGCAGCCUCGCUGGCCGAUCUGCAGCCUGGCCCUGGAGGAGUGGGGUGAGGAGAAGGUGCUUCUGGCCUCAGGAUGUAGCCCUUCCCCCUGCAUGGAUGAGCCGCCAGGUUCUCUGCUCCUCUUCCCCUUUCCUGCCUGUACCCACCUCUGCUCACCUAGUAUGUGGCCAGUUACGAGGAUAUGUGCAUUUGCCCAGCUCUCUGUGCCUUCUCUUUUGCUGGGGGAAGGAGGACAGUCAGGUAUAUGAGAUUGGAAAAGUUUGGAGACUGCCGCCUAGAGCAGUGAUCUUCACACUUCAGUGGGCACAGGAAAAGCCACAAGAUGAGUCCUGCAGUUGUUUUCCGUGAUGAGUCAAGAACCUACUCUGUGGAUGCAGUGAAUUGAAGUCUGUCUUCUCUCUGGGGAACCUCCUUGGGCCCUGUCUGGUGACAGUCUCAUCCAGGCUAGGGCUUUGAAGAACACGUGUUUGCUGAUGAUGCCCAGAUCUGUGCCCGCCCUGACUUUGACGAAAACCUGCACCUAAGUCUUCCCUGUGUCCAUCCGAGUGACACCCAGAGUGAAUGUGUUCAGGAUGUCUUAGCCUCAGGCCUACUCCCCUCCACCCUUACCUUCUCCUGGGCUCCGCCUGUCUAUCUCCUCCACCAGAAUGUCAGCUCCAUGUGGGCUGGGUGGGGUUGUCUAUUUUGUCCACUGCUCUGUCCCUAGUACCUAGAGCCAUGGCUGGCACAGAAGAACCCUCAGAGGGUGGUGGAUGGAUGGAUGGAUGGAUGGAUGAGUGGGUGGGUGAGGACACUGGAAUCUGAAUUGCC